Molecule: non-coding RNA, 59 nt
Filed under: unclassified sequences
Description: Transposase-1 RNA
Rfam family: Transposase-1 RNA
About the family: Lactobacillales (Firmicutes). Environment (Human Microbiome Project, vagina)
Source: Rfam by way of RNAcentral
UGUUAAGAGGUUGCCUCUGUCGUUACCUGCUCAAGCAGAUACGGGAAUGCAACUGCUGA